Molecule: ribosomal RNA, 296 nt
Filed under: Escherichia coli
Lineage: Bacteria; Pseudomonadati; Pseudomonadota; Gammaproteobacteria; Enterobacterales; Enterobacteriaceae
Description: partial 16S ribosomal RNA
Rfam family: Bacterial small subunit ribosomal RNA
Source: RNAcentral
UGGGGUAACGGCUCACCUAGGCGACGAUCCCUAGCUGGUCUGAGAGGAUGACCAGCCACACUGGAACUGAGACACGGUCCAGACUCCUACGGGAGGCAGCAGUGGGGAAUAUUGCACAAUGGGCGCAAGCCUGAUGCAGCCAUGCCGCGUGUAUGAAGAAGGCCUUCGGGUUGUAAAGUACUUUCAGCGGGGAGGAAGGGAGUAAAGUUAAUACCUUUGCUCAUUGACGUUACCCGCAGAAGAAGCACCGGCUAACUCCGUGCCAGCAGCCGCGGUAAUACGGAGGGUGCAAGCGU